RNAcentral lists this ribosomal RNA (165 nucleotides) under Tetrahymena paravorax. RNAcentral's name for it is "partial 23S ribosomal RNA". The record is from RNAcentral. Lineage: Eukaryota; Ciliophora; Oligohymenophorea; Hymenostomatida; Tetrahymenidae.
AGCGAGCAUUCGGGGAGUCAGGGUGAGACUCAAAAAGGGAAGUCCGUUGGGAUACCGAUGAGGAGGUUCAACUUGAGUAAAACAGAAGACUAAAACCAUCACGUGAAGCUAUGGGACUAGAAUGGUGAAACUAAAAGAGGUACCGUCAAACAUUAUAGCCUUAUG